ACCAGACUCCUACGGGAGGCAGCAGUGGGGAAUAUUGCACAAUGGGGGAAACCCUGAUGCAGCGACGCCGCGUGAGUGAAGAAGUAUUUCGGUAUGUAAAGCUCUAUCAGCAGGGAAGAAAAACCGACCAUAGGGUCGCUAGACGGUACCUGAUUAAGAAGCCCCGGCUAACUACGUGCCAGCAGCCGCGGUAAUACGUAGGGGGCAAGCGUUAUCCGGAUUUACUGGGUGUAAAGGGAGCGUAGACGGCGAUGCAAGUCUGAAGUGAAAGGCGGGGGCCCAACCCCCGGACUGCUUUGGAAACUGUAUGGCUGGAGUGCAGGAGAGGUAAGUGGAAUUCCUAGUGUAGCGGUGAAAUGCGUAGAUAUCAGGAGGAACACCGGCGGCGAAGGCGGCCUGCUGGACCGCUACUGACGUUGAGGCUCGAAAGCGUGGGGAGCGAACAGGAUUAGAUACCCGUGUA
RNAcentral lists this ribosomal RNA (463 nucleotides) under uncultured bacterium. RNAcentral describes it as "partial 16S ribosomal RNA". It matches the Rfam family "Bacterial small subunit ribosomal RNA", at positions 330 to 792 of the family's 1533-position model. The record is from RNAcentral.